CGACUCUCGACAACGGAUAUCUCGGCUCUCGCAUCGAUGAAGAACGUAGCGAAAUGCGAUACUUGGUGUGAAUUGCAGAAUCCCGUGAACCAUCGAGUUUUUGAACGCAAGUUGCGCCCGAAGCCACUCGGCCAAGGGCACGCCUGCCUGGGCGUCACGUAC
RNAcentral lists this ribosomal RNA (162 nucleotides) under Myriophyllum mattogrossense. RNAcentral's name for it is "5.8S ribosomal RNA". It matches the Rfam family "5.8S ribosomal RNA". Rfam says of the family: 5.8S ribosomal RNA (5.8S rRNA) is a component of the large subunit of the eukaryotic ribosome. Lineage: Eukaryota; Viridiplantae; Streptophyta; Magnoliopsida; Saxifragales; Haloragaceae. The record is from RNAcentral.